GCCUGGGAAUAUACCAUAAGGUGGGGGACAACAGUUGGAAACGACUGCUAAUACCGCAUGAUGUCUACGGACCAAAGAGGGCCUCUAUUUAUAUGCUCUUGCCUUUUGAUUAGCCCAGGUGGGAUUAGCUAGUUGGUGAGGUAAAGGCUCACCAAGGCGACGAUCUCUAGCUGGUUUGAGAGGAUGAUCAGCCACACUGGAACUGAGACACGGUCCAGACUCCUACGGGAGGCAGCAGUGGGGAAUAUUGCACAAUGGGGGAAACCCUGAUGCAGCCAUGCCGCGUGUGUGAAGAAGGCC
RNAcentral lists this ribosomal RNA (300 nucleotides) under uncultured Pseudoalteromonas sp. Its description in RNAcentral is "bacterial SSU rRNA". It matches the Rfam family "Bacterial small subunit ribosomal RNA", at positions 115 to 416 of the family's 1533-position model. Lineage: Bacteria; Pseudomonadati; Pseudomonadota; Gammaproteobacteria; Alteromonadales; Pseudoalteromonadaceae. The record is from RNAcentral.